This 72-nucleotide transfer RNA is filed under the name Akkermansiaceae bacterium. RNAcentral describes it as "tRNA-His". It matches the Rfam family "tRNA". From Rfam's summary of the family: Transfer RNA (tRNA) molecules are approximately 80 nucleotides in length. Their secondary structure includes four short double-helical elements and three loops (D, anti-codon, and T loops). Further hydrogen bonds mediate the characteristic L-shaped molecular structure. tRNAs have two regions of fundamental functional importance: the anti-codon, which is responsible for specific mRNA codon recognition, and the 3' end, to which the tRNAs corresponding amino acid is attached (by aminoacyl-tRNA synthetases). tRNAs cope with the degeneracy of the genetic code in two manners: having more than one tRNA (with a specific anti-codon) for a particular amino acid; and 'wobble' base-pairing, i.e. permitting non-standard base-pairing at the 3rd anti-codon position. Lineage: Bacteria; Pseudomonadati; Verrucomicrobiota; Verrucomicrobiia; Verrucomicrobiales; Akkermansiaceae. The record is from RNAcentral.
GGGACCAUGGUGUAGUAGUUCGCAUUCGGCUCUGUGAAAGCCGCGGGAUGGGUGCAAAUCCCAUUGGUCCCC